GAUGAACGCUGGCGGCGUGCCUAAUACAUGCAAGUCGAGCGAACAGACGAGGAGUUUGCGCCUCUGACGUGUGCCGCGCACGUGUGAGUAACAUGUGGAUAACCUACUUAUAAGACUGGGAUAUCUUCGGGAAACCGGAGCUAAUACCGGAUAAGAUAGUGAACCGCCUGGUGCAAUAGUGAGAGACGGCUGUGCUGUCACGUAUCGAUGGAUCCGCGCCGCAUUAGGGAGUGGGUAGGGUAACGGGGUUCCAAGGCGAGGAUGCGUAGCCGGCGGGAGCGGGUGAGAGGCCGCGCGGGAGCGGGGGCGCGGGCAAGGGGCCUGCGGGAGGCAGCAGGGGGGGAUGUGGGGCAAUGGGGGGAAGGCUGGCAGAGCAAGGCGGCGUGAGUGAUGAAGGUCUUCGGAUCGUAAAGCUCUGUUGUGAGGGAAGAACAGGUGUGUAAGUAAAUAUGCACGUAUUGACGGUACCUGAUCAGGAAGCAACGGCUAACUACGUG
Molecule: ribosomal RNA, 497 nt
Filed under: uncultured bacterium
Lineage: Bacteria
Description: partial 16S ribosomal RNA
Rfam family: Bacterial small subunit ribosomal RNA
Source: RNAcentral